AUAAAACAAAACUAACCGACUCAU
This 24-nucleotide non-coding RNA is filed under the name Arabidopsis thaliana (thale cress). The record is from RNAcentral. Lineage: Eukaryota; Viridiplantae; Streptophyta; Magnoliopsida; Brassicales; Brassicaceae.